GAUGAACGCUGGCGGCGUGCCUAAUACAUGCAAGUCGAGCGAACAGACGAGGAGCUUGCUCCUCUGACGUUAGCGGCGGACGGGUGAGUAACACGUGGAUAACCUACCUAUAAGACUGGGAUAACUUCGGGAAACCGGAGCUAAUACCGGAUAAUAUAUUGAACCGCAUGGUUCAAUAGUGAAAGACGGUUUUGCUGUCACUUAUAGAUGGAUCCGCGCCGCAUUAGCUAGUUGGUAAGGUAACGGCUUACCAAGGCAACGAUGCGUAGCCGACCUGAGAGGGUGAUCGGCCACACCGGAACUGAGACACGGUCCAGACUCCUACGGGAGGCAGCAGUAGGGAAUCCUCCGCAAUGGGCGAAAGCCUGACGGAGCAACGCCGCGUGAGUGAUGAAGGUCUUCGGAUCGUAAAACUCUGUUAUUAGGGAAGAACAAAUGUGUAAGUAACUAUGCACGUCUUGACGGUACCUAAUCAGAAAGCCACGGCUAACUACGUG
RNAcentral lists this ribosomal RNA (497 nucleotides) under uncultured bacterium. RNAcentral describes it as "partial 16S ribosomal RNA". It matches the Rfam family "Bacterial small subunit ribosomal RNA", at positions 28 to 507 of the family's 1533-position model. The record is from RNAcentral.